Long non-coding RNA from Xenopus laevis (African clawed frog), 1661 nucleotides. RefSeq lists it as uncharacterized. The transcript has 3 exons. Lineage: Eukaryota; Metazoa; Chordata; Amphibia; Anura; Pipidae. The record is from RefSeq and is a predicted model, not a curated record.
CAUUGGUCGCUUCUGUUGUCAGUCAGCGCUGUGACGUUGUAUCAGCAUUUCUGGGCCGGGGUUGUGUGCAGCUGUUGAAUCCUCAGCUCAUUCCUCCUCCUCCCGCUGCUGCUGCUUGUGCUGCUCACUCACCAACUCUUUAUUCACCUUCCGGAGCAGAUCUGGAUUUAUUGGGGCAGCCAUGCAGAAAUACUACAAAGCAACAUAAGACCUGCCUGUGUAUAAAUAUAUGGAGUUCAACUCUCUGCUAAUCCUCCUGGAGGCAGCUGAAUAUUUUGAAAGAAGAGACCGAGACGCUGUAACAGACUGUUUAAGAUCAUCUCAGGAGUAUAGGAGCAUAUUUUUGGCCUGUUGUACUUUCAUGAAUGGCACCCUAAAUUCAGAACUAAAGUCAAGCUCCCGGUCUAGGCUCACUCUUCUGCCUUUAGCAGCCGCGUUUGGCUUCUGGAGGAGCCCUCAUUUACUCAGAUGCUGCCAUGUGAGAGGAACAGGACAGAAGUUCUGAGCAAACAAAGGGGCUGACCGUAGUGGAUUUGGAACUUCAAGAAAACACUUUAAAGUUAAAUGGCAGCUUAACAGGAGGAGGGUGGUGGGGGUUGGUCCAGGCAGAGUUCAGGCAAAGUCAGUUAUACAGGCAAGGGUCAAUCCAGGCAGAGUUCAGGCAAAGUUUGUUAUACAAGCAAGGGUCAGUUCUGGCAAAGUCAGUUAUACAGGCAAGGAUAGGCAACAGGAAUCAGAACAGAAAAUGCACUCAGAUACUAUGUAAAAUAGACCUAACAAUGUGCAAAGAGUUUUGCCCCGAGGCCCCUUUAAAUAUUUAAACUUUGGCGCCAUGCGCACGCCAUAGGAGGAGGAACUGAAGCAGGAGAAGGACUAGGGCUGCGGCAUCCCCGCCGGCCCCUAAUCUCCACUAGACUACCAGGGUGAGUCGUUACAGACACCAUUAGACAGUGGUUCUGAGAGCAGGCAUUGAGAAGACCUCCCCAUAAUACAGAAACACUAGAAUGCAGCUCAUCCCAUUUUUAUUGGGUGCACAUAUGUGUGGCUUUUAAUACAUACUACACAACUUAACCCCAGAACUCCAAUAUAUAGCGCUCAGGGAAAACUUUUUGCAAAGGUAACAUUUAGUGAAAAGAGAAACUCGUAGUUAAAAAGUAUGCAUAAGCUGACAUGCCCCGUCAAGGCAGCGUCCAUGCGUCAGUCCUAACGAAGUGAAAAAAGAGAAUAUUAUCUUUGGGGGGAGAAAGACAAACCUGCUUUUCUCUUUAUUUAGCAUGAUCUCUUUCAAAGACAUGAUUUGUAACUAAAAUUGUCUCUUUUACUAAAUGUUACCUUUAAGUUGUGCAAAAAUAAGUCCCAAUGAGUAGUUAGUUAUCUGCCAGAGGCUCAGGCUGUGGCAAUAUUUAGAAUCCUUGCUGAAUCGCUAUAUAUAUAUUUUUUUAAAAGGACCAGCACUCCAAAGUUAAUGAACCUUUGAUAUUUAUUUUUCGAACUUCUGCAUCCAAUUUUUUCGGACCACAUUAGAGAUUUUAUAAAGGACAAAAUACAAGUGUAUAAGUGAUCAUUUAAAUACAUCUAGCCCCUCCCAAUUCAAUACUGGUGUCAAUGAUGUCAUACAAGGUACUUAAUUAAGCAUUAGUGAAAUAAACAUGUAACUUCAA